This 506-nucleotide ribosomal RNA is filed under the name uncultured bacterium. RNAcentral's name for it is "bacterial SSU rRNA". It matches the Rfam family "Bacterial small subunit ribosomal RNA", at positions 19 to 518 of the family's 1533-position model. The record is from RNAcentral.
AUGGCUCAGGAUGAACGCUGGCGGCGUGCCUAAUACAUGCAAGUCGAACGAGCGAGAUCCAGCUUGCUGGAUUAGCGAGUGGCGAACGGGUGAGUAAUACGUAAGCAACCUGCCUACACGGACUGGGAUAACACCUGGAAACGGGCGCUAAUACCGGAUAGGUAACGAGAGGGCAUCCUCUUGUUAUUAAAGGUUUGAAACACAAGUAGAUGGGCUUACGGUGCAUUAGCUAGUUGGUGAGGUAACGGCCCACCAAGGCGAUGAUGCAUAGCCGGCCUGAGAGGGUGAACGGCCACAUUGGGACUGAGACACGGCCCAGACUCCUACGGGAGGCAGCAGUAGGGAAUUUUCGGCAAUGGGCGCAAGCCUGACCGAGCAACGCCGCGUGAAGUGAAGAAGGUUUUCGGAUCGUAAAGCUCUGUUGUAAGGGAAGAAUGGCGCGGAUAGACUCCGCGAUUGACGGUACCUUACCAGAAAGCCACGGCUAACUACGUGCCAGCCGCAGC